RNAcentral lists this ribosomal RNA (1431 nucleotides) under Weissella confusa. Its description in RNAcentral is "bacterial SSU rRNA". It matches the Rfam family "Bacterial small subunit ribosomal RNA". The record is from RNAcentral. Lineage: Bacteria; Bacillati; Bacillota; Bacilli; Lactobacillales; Lactobacillaceae.
GUACCAACGCUUUGUCGGGGCAACUGAUUUGAAGAGCUUGCUCAGAUAUGACGAUGGACAUUGCAAAGAGUGGCGAACGGGUGAGUAACACGUGGGAAACCUACCUCUUAGCAGGGGAUAACAUUUGGAAACAGAUGCUAAUACCGUAUAACAAUGACAACCGCAUGGUUGUUAUUUAAAAGAUGGUUCUGCUAUCACUAAGAGAUGGUCCCGCGGUGCAUUAGCUAGUUGGUAAGGUAAUGGCUUACCAAGGCGAUGAUGCAUAGCCGAGUUGAGAGACUGAUCGGCCACAAUGGGACUGAGACACGGCCCAUACUCCUACGGGAGGCAGCAGUAGGGAAUCUUCCACAAUGGGCGAAAGCCUGAUGGAGCAACGCCGCGUGUGUGAUGAAGGGUUUCGGCUCGUAAAACACUGUUGUAAGAGAAGAAUGACAUUGAGAGUAACUGUUCAAUGUGUGACGGUAUCUUACCAGAAAGGAACGGCUAAAUACGUGCCAGCAGCCGCGGUAAUACGUAUGUUCCAAGCGUUAUCCGGAUUUAUUGGGCGUAAAGCGAGCGCAGACGGUUAUUUAAGUCUGAAGUGAAAGCCCUCAGCUCAACUGAGGAAUUGCUUUGGAAACUGGAUGACUUGAGUGCAGUAGAGGAAAGUGGAACUCCAUGUGUAGCGGUGAAAUGCGUAGAUAUAUGGAAGAACACCAGUGGCGAAGGCGGCUUUCUGGACUGUAACUGACGUUGAGGCUCGAAAGUGUGGGUAGCAAACAGGAUUAGAUACCCUGGUAGUCCACACCGUAAACGAUGAGUGCUAGGUGUUUGAGGGUUUCCGCCCUUAAGUGCCGCAGCUAACGCAUUAAGCACUCCGCCUGGGGAGUACGACCGCAAGGUUGAAACUCAAAGGAAUUGACGGGGACCCGCACAAGCGGUGGAGCAUGUGGUUUAAUUCGAAGCAACGCGAAGAACCUUACCAGGUCUUGACAUCCCUUGACAACUCCAGAGAUGGAGCGUUCCCUUCGGGGACAAGGUGACAGGUGGUGCAUGGUUGUCGUCAGCUCGUGUCGUGAGAUGUUGGGUUAAGUCCCGCAACGAGCGCAACCCUUAUUACUAGUUGCCAGCAUUCAGUUGGGCACUCUAGUGAGACUGCCGGUGACAAACCGGAGGAAGGUGGGGAUGACGUCAAAUCAUCAUGCCCCUUAUGACCUGGGCUACACACGUGCUACAAUGGCGUAUACAACGAGUUGCCAACCCGCGAGGGUGAGCUAAUCUCUUAAAGUACGUCUCAGUUCGGAUUGUAGGCUGCAACUCGCCUACAUGAAGUCGGAAUCGCUAGUAAUCGCGGAUCAGCACGCCGCGGUGAAUACGUUCCCGGGUCUUGUACACACCGCCCGUCACACCAUGAGAGUUUGUAACACCCAAAGCCGGUGGGGUAACCUUCGA